AUUGAACGCUGGCGGCAGGCCUAACACAUGCAAGUCGAGCGGAUGAAGGGAGCUUGCUCCUGGAUUCAGCGGCGGACGGGUGAGUAAUGCCUAGGAAUCUGCCUGGUAGUGGGUGAUAACGUCCGGAAACGGGCGCUAAUACCGCAUACGUCCUGAGGGAGAAAGUGGGGGAUCUUCGGACCUCACGCUAUCAGAUGAGCCUAGGUCGGAUUAGAUAGUUGGUGGGGUAAAGGCCUACCAAGGCGACGAUCCGUAACUGGUCUGAGAGGAUGAUCAGUCACACUGGAACGGAGACACGGUCCAGAGUACUAAGGGAGGCAGCAGUGGGGAAUAUUGGGCAGUGGGCGGAAGCCUGAUACAGUCAUGCCGAGUGUGUGAAGAAGGUGUUCGGAUUGUAAAGCAGUUUAAGUUGGGAGGAAGGGCAGUAAGUUAAUACCUUGCUGUUUUGACGUUAACAAGAGAAUAAGCACCGGCUAACUUCGUG
Molecule: ribosomal RNA, 484 nt
Filed under: uncultured bacterium
Lineage: Bacteria
Description: partial 16S ribosomal RNA
Rfam family: Bacterial small subunit ribosomal RNA
Source: RNAcentral